AACUUUCAGCAACGGAUCUCUUGGCUCUCGCAUCGAUGAAGAACGCAGCGAAAUGCGAUAAGUAAUGUGARUUGCAGAAUUCAGUGAAUCAUCGAAUCUYUGARCGCRCCUUGCGCUCCUUGGUAUUCCGAGGAGCAUGCCUGUUUGAGUGUCAUU
Molecule: ribosomal RNA, 156 nt
Filed under: Galerina clavata
Lineage: Eukaryota; Fungi; Basidiomycota; Agaricomycetes; Agaricales; Galerinaceae
Description: 5.8S ribosomal RNA
Rfam family: 5.8S ribosomal RNA
About the family: 5.8S ribosomal RNA (5.8S rRNA) is a component of the large subunit of the eukaryotic ribosome. It is transcribed by RNA polymerase I as part of the 45S precursor that also contains 18S and 28S rRNA.
Source: RNAcentral